Molecule: ribosomal RNA, 276 nt
Filed under: Prorocentrum rhathymum
Lineage: Eukaryota; Dinophyceae; Prorocentrales; Prorocentraceae
Description: partial large subunit ribosomal RNA
Source: RNAcentral
UACGCAUUCGCGUGUGGUGGUUCUUGCCUUGUGUGUCAACGCCAGUUCGCGAUCGAGGAAAACUCUUGGGACAUGGUAGCCUGUCUUCGGGUGGGCGAAUGUGCCUUGUAGAACUCAUUUGCGGACUGAUUCCUUCGUGUCUGGUUGCAGCGCUUCUUGUCUCUUCGACGUGCUUGGGGGUGGGAGUUCGCUCCUCGCACCCAGCGCUCGGGUGACUGGGCGCUUCCCUGACGCAUAGACAAUGACUAAAUGGUUCUAUUCGACCCGUCUUGAAAC